This 322-nucleotide ribosomal RNA is filed under the name uncultured eukaryote. RNAcentral describes it as "partial 18S ribosomal RNA". It matches the Rfam family "Eukaryotic small subunit ribosomal RNA", at positions 1470 to 1796 of the family's 1831-position model. The record is from RNAcentral.
CCCUUAGAUGUUCUGGGCCGCACGCGUGCUACACUGAGUAAAUCAAUGGGUAAGGGAACACGAAAGUGCAACCUAAUCUUGAAAUUUGCUCGUGAUGGGGAUCGACGGUUGCAAUUUUCCGUCGUGAACGAGGAAUACCUUGUAGGCGCGUGUCAUCAUCACGCGCCGAAUACGUCCCUGCCCUUUGUACACACCGCCCGUCGCUCCUACCGAUUGAGUGAUCCGGUGAGGCUCUGGGACCUGGACGGAAAGAGCGUUUCGCUUGUUCUGUUUGGGAAACUUGGUCGAACCUUAUCAUUGAGAGGAAGGAGAAGUCGGAACA